RNAcentral lists this ribosomal RNA (597 nucleotides) under uncultured Actinobacteridae bacterium. Its description in RNAcentral is "bacterial SSU rRNA". It matches the Rfam family "Bacterial small subunit ribosomal RNA", at positions 252 to 843 of the family's 1533-position model. The record is from RNAcentral. Lineage: Bacteria; Bacillati; Actinomycetota; Actinomycetes.
GUGGGGUAAAGGCCUACCAAGGCUAUGACGGGUAGCGGGUCUGAGAGGAUGAUCCGUCACACUGGGACUGAGACACUGCCCAGACUCCUACGGGAGGCUGCAGUCGAGAAUCUUCCGCAAUGGGCGAAAGCCUGACGGAGCGACACCGCGUGCAGGAUGAAGGCCUUAGGGUUGUAAACUGCUGUCACGCUAUAGGAACCCGUGUAGGUUAAUAGCCUGCACGCUGACCAAAGCGAAAGGAAGUGCCGGCUAACUCCGUGCCAGCAGCCGCGGUAAGACGGAGGGCGCAAACGUUGUUCGGAAUCACUGGGCAUAAAGAGCACGUAGGCUGUUCGUUAAGUCGGAUGUGAAAUCCCUCGGCUCAACCGAGGAACUGCAUCCGAUACUGGCGAACUCGAGGACGGUAGGGGUAAGUGGAACUCCAGGUGGAACGGUGAAAUGUGUAGAUAUCUGGAGGAACACCGGUGGCGAAAGCGGCUUACUGGACCGUCUCUGACGCUGAGGUGCGAAAGCUAGGGGAGCGAACGGGAUUAGAUACCCCGGUAGUCCUAGCCGUAAACGAUGGGCACUAGGCAAUGGGCCACCUAUGGGGCUCAU